RNAcentral lists this ribosomal RNA (520 nucleotides) under uncultured bacterium. RNAcentral describes it as "partial 16S ribosomal RNA". It matches the Rfam family "Bacterial small subunit ribosomal RNA", at positions 28 to 507 of the family's 1533-position model. The record is from RNAcentral.
GACGAACGCUGGCGGCGUGCCUAAUACAUGCAAGUCGAACGCACUCUCGUUUAGAUUGACGGAGUUUGCUCCUGAUUGAUAGACAUUUGAGUGAGUGGCGGACGGGUGAGUAACACGUGGGUAACCUGCCCUAAAGUGGGGGAUAACAUUUGGAAACAGAUGCUAAUACCGCAUAAAACCUAACACCGCAUGGUGUAGGGUUGAAAGAUGGUUUCGGCUAUCACUUUAGGAUGGACCCGCGGUGCAUUAGUUAGUUGGUGAGGUAAAGGCUCACCAAGACCGUGAUGCAUAGCCGACCUGAGAGGGUAAUCGGCCACACUGGGACUGAGACACGGCCCAGACUCCUACGGGAGGCAGCAGUAGGGAAUCUUCCACAAUGGACGAAAGUCUGAUGGAGCAACGCCGCGUGAGUGAAGAAGGUUUUCGGAUCGUAAAACUCUGUUGUUGGAGAAGAAUGUAUCUGAUAGUAACUGAUCAGGUAGUGACGGUAUCCAACCAGAAAGCCACGGCUAACUACGUG